CUAAUACAUGCAAGUCGAGCGGACCGACGGGAGCUUGCUCCCUUAGGUCAGCGGCGGACGGGUGAGUAACACGUGGGUAACCUGCCUGUAAGACUGGGAUAACUCCGGGAAACCGGGGCUAAUACCGGAUGCUUGAUUGAACCGCAUGGUUCAAUCAUAAAAGGUGGCUUUUAGCUACCACUUACAGAUGGACCCGCGGCGCAUUAGCUAGUUGGUGAGGUAACGGCUCACCAAGGCGACGAUGCGUAGCCGACCUGAGAGGGUGAUCGGCCACACUGGGACUGAGACACGGCCCAGACUCCUACGGGAGGCAGCAGUAGGGAAUCUUCCGCAAUGGACGAAAGUCUGACGGAGCAACGCCGCGUGAGUGAUGAAGGUUUUCGGAUCGUAAAACUCUGUUGUUAGGGAAGAACAAGUACCGUUCGAAUAGGGCGGUACCUUGACGGUACCUAACCAGAAAGCCACGGCUAACUACGUGCCAGCAGCGGGGGGAA
Molecule: ribosomal RNA, 494 nt
Filed under: Bacillus licheniformis
Lineage: Bacteria; Bacillati; Bacillota; Bacilli; Caryophanales; Bacillaceae
Description: bacterial SSU rRNA
Rfam family: Bacterial small subunit ribosomal RNA
Source: RNAcentral